This 429-nucleotide ribosomal RNA is filed under the name Chloroflexota bacterium. RNAcentral describes it as "Chloroflexi bacterium partial 16S ribosomal RNA". It matches the Rfam family "Bacterial small subunit ribosomal RNA", at positions 355 to 776 of the family's 1533-position model. Lineage: Bacteria; Bacillati; Chloroflexota. The record is from RNAcentral.
UGGGGAAUAUUGCACAAUGGGCGCAAGCCUGAUGCAGCCAUGCCGCGUGUAUGAAGAAGGCCUUCGGGUUGUAAAGUACUUUCAGUCGGGAGGAAGGUGGUAAGGUUAAUAACCUUAUCAAUUGACGUUACCGACAGAAGAAGCACCGGCUAACUCCGUGCCAGCAGCCGCGGUAAUACGGAGGGUGCAAGCGUUAAUCGGAAUUACUGGGCGUAAAGCGCACGCAGGCGGUUUGUUAAGUCAGAUGUGAAAUCCCCGGGCUCAACCUGGGAACUGCAUCUGAUACUGGCAAGCUUGAGUCUCGUAGAAGGGGGUAGAAUUCCAGGUGUAGCGGUGAAAUGCGUAGAGAUCUGGAGGAAUACCGGUGGCGAAGGCGGCCCCCUGGACAAAGACUGACGCUCAGGUGCGAAAGCGUGGGGAGCAAACAGG